UGUAAGCAUGAUAUGCUGGGUACAUGGGGU
RNAcentral lists this non-coding RNA (30 nucleotides) under Rattus norvegicus (Norway rat). The record is from RNAcentral. Lineage: Eukaryota; Metazoa; Chordata; Mammalia; Rodentia; Muridae.